UAGAAAAAUAGGAGUUGAACCUAUAACUGAGAGAUCAAAACUCUCCGUAA
RNAcentral lists this transfer RNA (50 nucleotides) under Dendropsophus ebraccatus (hourglass treefrog). RNAcentral describes it as "partial tRNA-Gln". Lineage: Eukaryota; Metazoa; Chordata; Amphibia; Anura; Hylidae. The record is from RNAcentral.